CGAAGUUAGUAAUUACCUGAUCCCAGGAAUUGCUCAAUAGGUCAAUCCCCUGAUCCCUUGCUAUUUUCACCUUUAUGCAGCUGUAGGGGGAAGGUGGUAGUCUACAAGCCUGCGAGAGCUAGAGUGGAGCUUCCUAUGUGACAGAAGCAGGAUGGGGCCUUCUCUGCUAAAAUUCCAUGGAAAUAAUAAUAGUAAUAUUGACUUAUUUAUGGAGGGUACACAAUCAACACCUGGCCUUGGCAAGUAACUUAACCUGAGUACCGGAUCUCAGAUAUUAUAUUGAGAUAUAUUAUACCCACCUAAUAGAAUCUUCGCUUCUGAAGACUGAAGUGAACAAGGAAAGUGCUUUAUACCAUGGCAGAGUUAUACACCACGCCGGGAGCCCUCCUACCUUUACUACAUGGGCUCAGUGUCCACGGAGAACUCCAAGCUCUGGAAAUGUCAGGAUUAGUCAAGAAGACAGUAAGAUCUCAAGUCACCACCAGCACCAAAUGAUAGAGUCAACAAUCCCAACUCCCUUUUCAGGCCCCUUAUCUAGAAAAGGGACUAUGCCCACAGUCCCACUGGGAAUUGCUUUCAGAGGAGCUGAUGAAAGCUGUGAAGGCACUGUUGCCCAACAGUGAGGGGAGUGGAAACAACUUGGCAGAACCUCUGGGAAGGCCCAUCAGGGCAUGAGAUCAGUGACCAGAGACGAGGACCACACUCCAGGGGUAGAGGCAGAACCACAUGUCAUGCCCUGCAGACUCCAGAGCUGCAUCUCCAAGACAGAGGGAGGCCUCCAGCAGACAAGAUGCGGAUGCGGGCCUUCUAAAACUCAGGUACCCUGAAAACCACUUUUUUUCCCCUAAUGAGGCAGAAACAAAAACUUAAGGAAGUUGUAAGCCACAGUGGCCAACAGAAAAGUUAGAAUGUGUCCUGCAGAACAAGCUUCUCUGCUCUCCCAAACCAGACAAACAGCUGAAGCUUGGGGACGGGAAGGGGAAGGAGCUGUGAGGUAGUGUAAAGGACUUUCUAUAAGCCAGCAGAUGACUGUGUGCAAGCUGUUGCCCUUCCAAAGGCUCAUGGGAGCCUGGGAACCUCACUGUGCAAUUCUUGUCUUUCGUCCCUCCCCUGCCUUUAAAUGGCUUGUCUCCAUGGUUCUUUGUGGUGUUUUUGUGCUGUGAUUGAGACUCUAUGACCUGUUCCAUCUCACAAGGCCAGUAAACAGAAGCGCCCUGAACCGGAAUUUGGUGAAAUGGCUGCACCCUGCUCAAGGAAGUCUGGGAAAUGUAGUCUCUAGCUGUAUGGAUGAAAUUCCAGGUGAUUUUGUUCUAAAAGGAAGAACAGAUGCUGAGAGACAGCACUCUGACACCAAGGGCUUAUAGAUCUACCAGCUUUACUUUGAAUAGUAUGUGCCCUGGUAGCACAUCUGAACAGUUAAAAUAUUAAUGCACUCUAUUUACUUAUUCGUAUAUCUCUCACAAAUGC
This 1467-nucleotide long non-coding RNA is filed under the name Equus asinus (donkey). Its description in RNAcentral is "lncRNA (ENSEASG00005029297.1)". The record is from RNAcentral. Lineage: Eukaryota; Metazoa; Chordata; Mammalia; Perissodactyla; Equidae.